RNAcentral lists this ribosomal RNA (894 nucleotides) under uncultured bacterium. RNAcentral's name for it is "bacterial SSU rRNA". It matches the Rfam family "Bacterial small subunit ribosomal RNA", at positions 8 to 902 of the family's 1533-position model. The record is from RNAcentral.
AGAGUUUGAUCCUGGCUCAGGAUGAACGCUAGCGGCAGGCCUAACACAUGCAAGUCGAGGGGUAACGUGAGUGCUUGCACUUGACGACGACCGGCGCACGGGUGCGUAACGCGUAUACAAUCUACCUUUUGCUGAGGGAUAGCCCAGAGAAAUUUGGAUUAAUACCUCAUGGUAUCUAGAGACGGCAUUGUUUUUAGAUUAAAGGUAACGGCAAAAGAUGAGUAUGCGUCCUAUUAGCUAGAUGGUGUGGUAACGGCACACCAUGGCGACGAUAGGUAGGGGCCCUGAGAGGGGGAUCCCCCACACUGGUACUGAGACACGGACCAGACUCCUACGGGAGGCAGCAGUGAGGAAUAUUGGUCAAUGGACGCAAGUCUGAACCAGCCAUGCCGCGUGCAGGAAGACUGCCCUAUGGGUUGUAAACUGCUUUUAUACAGGAAGAAACACAUUCACGUGUGAGUGUUUGACGGUACUGUAAGAAUAAGGAUCGGCUAACUCCGUGCCAGCAGCCGCGGUAAUACGGAGGAUCCAAGCGUUAUCCGGAAUCAUUGGGUUUAAAGGGUCCGUAGGUGGAUCAAUAAGUCAGAGGUGAAAUCCUGCAGCUUAACUGUAGAACUGCCUUUGAUACUGUUGAUCUUGAGUCAUUAUGAAGUGGUUAGAAUGUGUAGUGUAGCGGUGAAAUGCAUAGAUAUUACACAGAAUACCGAUUGCGAAGGCAGAUCACUAAUAAUGUACUGACACUGAGGGACGAAAGCGUGGGGAGCGAACAGGAUUAGAUACCCUGGUAGUCCACGCCGUAAACGAUGGUCACUAGCUGUUUGGACUUCGGUCUGAGUGGCUAAGCGAAAGUGAUAAGUGACCCACCUGGGGAGUACGUUCGCAAGAAUGAAACUC